Oryza meridionalis is the source of this 209-nucleotide non-coding RNA. NCBI's taxonomy places the organism in Eukaryota, Viridiplantae, Streptophyta, Magnoliopsida, Poales, Poaceae. The record is from Rfam.
GCAAAAUCCAUUACUCAGUUUUCGUGCCCAAUUUUAAUUGUCCGUCUUAUUUGAAAUUUUUUUUAUAAUUAGUAUUUUUAUUGUUAUGAGAUGAUAGAACACAGAUAGUACUUUACUCAUGACUUAUGUUUUUAAACUUUUUUUUAAAAAAAUUUCAAAUAAAGGUGAACGGUCAAAAUUGGACGCGGAAAACUAUGAUUAUACUUAAA